Long non-coding RNA from Heterocephalus glaber (naked mole-rat), 3051 nucleotides. RefSeq lists it as uncharacterized. The record is from RefSeq and is a predicted model, not a curated record. NCBI's taxonomy places the organism in Eukaryota, Metazoa, Chordata, Mammalia, Rodentia, Bathyergidae.
AAUCUCAAAUUAAGUAUUUAACAAACUCAAAUCUGAGGCCACACAGAGAUCAGGUAGCUGUGGUCCAUUGUCUAGGCUCUCUACCUGGUGGUAAGAAGCCGUCUGGAGCACAGCACAUCCAGCUCUCUCCUUACUGGCAGAACCGUCGGCCGCCCUCACUGAGAGGACGGUGAACACUCCUGGCAGAGAGCAGCUCUGGAGUGUGGUGGGGCAGCUCAGUGGGGUACGUAAGAUCCGGGAGGGAGGGGGAGUGGCAGCCAGUGCCACGCUGAGGGUGGCAGCCAGUUGCCUGGUGGCCUCUCUGGAAACAUCAGGAAGGUCAGCGGGGUUCCUGAACUUUGGAGCCAGCUUGGGCAAUCUUCCCCACCCCCUCUGCUGUGUCCCGCUGUGUGACCUGGGGCAUGUGGCAGACUAAUGUCUCCUUCAGUUCCCCUCCAUAAACGGGGUCACAGCGUGGCUGUGGGUAUGUAAAUCUGUCUUCCGUGCAACAUGGUGUGCCAUGGGUAACCUGGGGUCAACACGGGCAUCAUGAGCACAACGACGCAGGCAAGGCGUACAGUGCUGGGGCCGGCGAGAUAAUAAGCUUCUGAACAGCCAUGCCUCCCUUUCCGUGCCAAGUACCCCGGUACAGAGGCCAGCGAUGAAACUGACACUUAACCCAGCCAGGCCUCCCAUCCGCUGCUGCCACCCUCUGACCACAGUGACCACCCAUGUGCUGUGGUUGGAAUGUCCCCUGCAGACCGGGCUGAAACUGAACUGCUAUUGUGACAGUGCUGAGGGGCCCAGGUCCAGAGCGCCCUGCUCAGGAGGGGCUCUGCGGUGGUGGGAGCAGAGGAGCACAGGAGCAGGCCCCAAUUUGUCCUGUCUCACACACGGUCUCUUGUGCUUCUGCCCUUUAAUGAGCCAGCAAAACAGUCCUGCCAAGAGGCUGGAGACUCUAUGUUGGACUUCCCAUCCUCAACCUAUGAAAAAUAUUCUUUUUUUUACAAAUUCCCUAGUAUGUGAUACUCUAUCAUAGCAAUGGACAAAAUGAAUGAAAGCACUGAGUCUGGCCUAAGUCAUUAGAAAUGCCACGGGGUUGGCAGUGGGGGGGGGGACCUCACCCAAGCUUCCAGUUCCUCCUCCCACAAAACAGAGUCUACAGCCCUUGGUUUGACUUUCAAAUUACCCUUGAACUUCCUACCCCAAGAACAUACAGUUCUUGUGCUUGGCCAUUGGAGGCAGCUCAUUUGGUUUGAGCAGAUGCAAGAAUCCCACAAUUGGGGACAGAUGUUAAUCUGUUCUUUUCUGUAGGAAGGAAAACAGAAGGGUGAGACCGAAGCAGUGCGGGGGAAACCCCAGUUGUGUAAGCAUUGUGUAACUCCUGGGCGGGGUUCAAACAUGCGAGUUCUGCUUGAAAUCAGUAACGGAAAGGCCAUUUUUGGUCAUGCCUUUGAGAGGACAUCUUUGGAAAUGGAAUUUACAUAGCCUUUGUUCUGUGUGCUCUGAGGUCCCUUGCUGCCUCCCCAAGUCAUGCUCAGAUGGGAAACCAGCCCAGGAUUGCCACAUCAGACUCCUGCCAGCUGCUUCUGUGUCUCUACCCUUGUCCUCUUCAAACGUAGGACGUGCUGAGCACAUGUGUGUGCGUUUGUGCGGCGAAAGGUCACAAAGGUGGGUUCCUGAGAGCUCAUGGCUCAGAGAGAAGCUGGGUGGGUCAGAGGCCAGGGAGUGGAGGUGGGAAAUAAAAAAUGAGCCUCUAGUAAAAGAGAUGCUCUGCUAGCUGUCAUCAUGGCCACAAAAGCUCACAGUAAGAAACUCCUUUCCAGUUUGCUGGUAAACUCCACCCCUCUGCUGUUGGGAGAGAUUAUUUUUCAUUGCAAAGCAGCCAGGUAAUUAACAAUUGUGAAACGCAGCACCAUUUGCCAAGCUCACUUUCAUCCAUCAUGUCAUUUACACUUCUGUGUCACCCUGGGAGGCUGGCUUUGCUACACUCAUUUUUGCAGAAGUAGAAGCUGAGGGUUGGAGAGGCGAAGUCCUGGUAGUGAAACUGGAGAGGUUUAUCCCGACCCACCUACGGUCUCCAUCUCUUGUGCCUGAGACACGGCUCAGAAGUCGGGAUCCGAUCCACACUGGCAUGAGGGCUGUGUGUGGAUUCCUCCGCAGGAGCACAGCCCGCCUUUUGCAGCCUGUCUGUGGUCCUCAGCAAUCACACCUGUGUUCUGAAUCAAAUCUACAGGACCCCAGCCGUUCCAUCCACCCCGCCAGGCUGCCCAUGAGCUACACCAUGAAGUCUGCUCUUCUGCAGAAGAAAGCUGGGCAACCUGUCUCUUCUGGACUUCUUCAUGGUCCUCAGUACCUCAGGCUCAGGACCAUGUGACCCUGGCUCUCAUGUGGCCCCACAAAGCGGGGCUCCAGGCAGAGCACCAGCCGUUGGACAAGGAGGACUCUGAGCUGCAGGUGCUCAGAACUGUGACCAGUGCACGUGGCUGGGGCCAUGGCCACCCCUCUCGCUCUUCCUGUGGCCCCUGGGGAUGGCUGGGAGGUGGGCCAGGCUCCCUGGACAAGGUGGCCAUGAGCUGAACACUUCAGGGUGAGUGGGAGUCACCUUUGCUGCUUUUCUAGCUUUGGGCAGAUGCGGAGAUAUUGUUACCAAACGGCUUCUGAUUUACUGGGUCUUGGGCAAUGGGGAUGUGCAGACCCUGCCUUGUCCUAGACGCUGUCCAUGCUGAGAUCAGAUCUGAAACAGGGGGACACAAGUGGCUAGGGGGCAGGAGCUUGGGGGAGAUGAAGAGACAGAAAAUCUCUGGCUGUGCUAGUACAGGCAGAGAAAAAGGGCAGCCAGGUGAGGCCAGGAGGGCUUUGGACAGUCAGCGUUCAGCAGCCCUGGGCUCAGGAGGGAGGAGAUGCGUGCGCAGAGCCCACACUUAGCUGACGCAAGGCCCCUGCUCCUGAUGUGUAUUUCAUCCCCCUUGGUGUUCAAUAAUACGUGUUUUGUAUAAUAUAUGAAUAUACAGUGUACAAACCAGGCAUGGCGCACACCUGUAAUCCCACUCUGGAGGAUGGUCAGGAGUU